This 378-nucleotide ribosomal RNA is filed under the name uncultured eukaryote. RNAcentral describes it as "partial 18S ribosomal RNA". It matches the Rfam family "Eukaryotic small subunit ribosomal RNA", at positions 592 to 975 of the family's 1831-position model. The record is from RNAcentral.
CAAUAGCGUAUAUUUUAGUUGUUGCAGUUAAAAAGCUCGUAGUUGAAUUUCUGGUGAGCGAGAGCGGUCCGAUCAAUGAUUGGUGCUUGCUUUCGCUGGCCAUCCUUGGGUUUAGCCAGUCUGGCAUUAAGUUGUCGGGCUGGGGAUGCCCAUCGUUUACUGUGAAAAAAUUAGAGUGUUCAAAGCAGACUUAUGUCGUUGAAUAUAUUAGCAUGGAAUAAUAAGAUAGGACUACAGUGCUAUUUUGUUGGUUUGCGCACCGUGGUAAUGAUGAAUAGGGACAGUUGUGGGUAUUCGUAUUCACUUGUAAGAGGUGAAAUUCUUAGAUUAAGGGAAGACGAACUACUGCGAAAGCAUUUACCAAGGAUGUUUNCAUUA